RNA transcript from Oncorhynchus kisutch (coho salmon), 4061 nucleotides. It is a transcript of the gene named tripartite motif-containing protein 35-like, with no coding region annotated. The transcript is spliced from 6 exons. Lineage: Eukaryota; Metazoa; Chordata; Actinopteri; Salmoniformes; Salmonidae. The record is from RefSeq and is a predicted model, not a curated record.
AGAAGUUUAGUGUGUGAACAUCGAUGAUUAACGUUAAUCUGUCAUGCGUUCUCUAAACUACCUGCUCGGAGAAACCAGACUGAACACACAGAAAACCCUGGGAGGAGAGAAAUUACCUUUACAACUACCGUGAGAAAUACAUACUAAAAACAGGGAUCUCACUCUGCUGCUUAAGCACACUAGAAUCAAAAGUGAAAGUUAACUUUUGUACAAGGCUCGGUCAUUCCAGAGGAGGGAUUGUCACAAGAACAAAAUGGCUUCCAGAUUAUCUCUCCAAGAGGACGAUCUAUCCUGUGCUGUGUGCUGUGACAUCUUCAAGGAUCCUGUCAUCCUGUCAUGUAGUCACAGCUUCUGUAAAGCCUGUCUGCAGGAAUACUGCAGGGGGAAGGCAGAAAAGGAAUGUCCAGGUAGCAGGAGAAGAUCUUCAAGGGCAGAUCCUCCCUGUAACCUGGUCUUAAAGAACCUGUGUGACGCAUUCUUACAGGAGAGGAGGCGCAGAGUUUCAGGGGAGUCUGAGGAGCGCUGCAAUCUGCACAACGAGAAACUCAAGCUCUUCUGUCUGGAUGAUAAACAGCCCAUCUGUGUGGUGUGUCAGACCUCAAAAAUCCACAAAAAACAUGACUGCUGCCCCAUAGACGAAGCUGCACAGGACCACAGGGAAGAACUCCAGACUGUCCUGAAGCCCUUACAGAAGAAGCUGAAGGGCUUUAAUGAAGUUAAAGAAAUCUGUGAUGAAACAGCAAAGCAUAUUAAAAACAAGGCCCAGAGCACAGAGAUACGGAUGAGAAAGGAAUUUGAGAAGCUCCACCAGUUUCUACGAGAGGAAGAGGAGGUGAGGAUAGCUGUUCUGAGGGAGGAAGAGGAGCAGAAGAGUCAGGUGAUGAAGGAGAAGAUUGAGGAGAUGAGCAGAGAGAUAUCAUCACUUUCAGACACAAUCAGAGCCUUAGAGGAGGAGCUGAGAGCUGAAGACAUCUCAUUCCUGAAGGUCAGCACUGAGAGCUGAAGACAUCUCAUUCCUGAAGGUCAGCACUGAGAGCUGAAGACAUCUCAUUCCUGAAGGUCAGCACUGAGAGCUGAAGACAUCUCAUUCCUGAAGAACUAUAAGGUCACAGUGGUAAGAACCCAGUGCACACUGCCGGAUCCACAGCUGGUCUCAGGAGCACUCAUAGACGUGGCCAAACACCUGGGAAACCUGCAGUUCAGAGUCUGGGAGGAGAUGUAGGGGAUUGUGAAAUUACAAUUCUGUGAUUCUGGACCCCAACACUGCCAACCCAAAUCUCAUCCUGUCUGAGGACCUGACCAGUGCCAUAUACAAUAAAGAGAGAGAGCAGCUUCCUGAAAACCCAGAGUGGUUUAAUUACUAUAAAAUAGUCUUGGGCUCUGAGGGCUUUACCUCAGGGACACACAGCUGGGACGUUGAGGUUGGGUUCAAUACAGCCCUGGGUGUGAUAGCAGAGUCUGUCCAGAGGAAGGUAAAAGUAGAAAGUGGAUUCUGGUGUUUAAGCCUUUGGUGUGUAAGCCCCUGUGAUGCUUAUGGUUAUGAUGUUGAUGGUGAUAUUCGAUAUAAAGUAGAGUCCCCUCCGAGGCCAGACAUCCAGCUCAGAUUGAGAAAGAAACGCCAGAGGAUCAGAGUGCAGCUGGACUGGGACAGAGGGAUGCUGUCAUUCUCUGACCCUGAUAAUAACACAUAUUUAUACACUAUUACACACACUUUCACUGAGAGAGUCUUUCCGUACCUUCUCAAUGAAUGUGCCCUCCAGCCAAUGAGCAUAUUACCAGGGUAGGCCUCUGAUGGUGGAACAGAACACUUAGAGCCUCUGAUGGUGGAACAGAACAUUUAGAGCCUCUGUGGUGGUGGAACAGAACACUUAGAGCCUCUGUGGUGGUGGAACAGAACACUUAGAGCCUCUGAUGGUGGAACAGAACACUUAGAGCCUCUGAUGGUGGAACAGAACACUUAGAGCCUCUGUGAUGGUGGAACAGAACACUUAGAGCCUCUGUGGUGGUGGAACAGAACACUUAGAGCCUCUGAUGGUGGAACAGAACACUUAGAGCCUCUGAUGGUGGAACAGAACACUUAGAGCCUCUGUGAUGGUGGAACAGAACACUUAGAGCCUCUGUGGUGGUGGAACAGAACACUUAGAGCCUCUGAUGGUGGAACAGAACACUUAGAGCCUCUGAUGGUGGAACAGAACACUUAGAGCCUCUGUGGUGGUGGAACAGAACACUUAGAGCCUCUGUGAUGGUGGAACAGAACACUUAAAGCCUCUGUGAUGGUGGAACAGAACACUUAGAGCCUCUGUGGUGGUGGAACAGAACACUUAGAGCCUCUGUGAUGGUGGAACAGAACACUUAGAGCCUCUGUGAUGGUGGAACAGAACACUCAGAGCUUCUGUCUAUAAUGGUGGAACAGAACACUUAGAGCCUCUGUCUAUAAUGGUGGAACAGAACACUUAGAGCCUCUGUCUAUAAUGGUGGAACAGAACACUUAGAGCCUCUGUCUAUAAUGGUGGAACAGAACACUUAGAGCCUCUGUCUGUAAUGGUGGAACAGAACACUUAGAGCCUCUGUCUAUAAUGGUGGAACAGAACACUUAGAGCCUCUGUCUAUAAUGGUGGAACAGAACACUUAGAGCCUCUGUCUAUAAUGGUGGAACAGAACACUUAGAGCCUCUGUCUAUAAUGGUGGAACAGAACACUUAGAGCCUCUGUGAUGGUGGAACAGAACACUUAGAGCCUCUGUCUAUAAUGGUGGAACAGAACACUUAGAGCCUCUGUGAUGGUGGAACAGAACACUUAGAGCCUCUGUCUAUAAUGGUGGAACAGAACACUUAGAGCCUCUGUCUAUAAUGGUGGAACAGAACACUUAGAGCCUCUGUCUAUAAUGGUGGAACAGAACACUUAGAGCCUCUGUCUAUAAUGGUGGAACAGAACACUUAGAGCCUCUGUCUAUAAUGGUGGAACAGAACACUUAGAGCCUCUGUCUAUAAUGGUGGAACAGAACACUUAGAGCCUCUGUCUAUAAUGGUGGAACAGAACACUUAGAGCCUCUGUCUGUAAUGGUGGAACAGAACACUUAGAGCCUCUGUCUAUAAUGGUGGAACAGAACACUUAGAGCCUCUGUCUAUAAUGGUGGAACAGAACACUUAGAGCCUCUGUCUAUAAUGGUGGAACAGAACACUUAGAGCCUCUGUCUAUAAUGGUGGAACAGAACACUUAGAGCCUCUGUGAUGGUGGAACAGAACACUUAGAGCCUCUGUCUAUAAUGGUGGAACAGAACACUUAGAGCCUCUGUGAUGGUGGAACAGAACACUUAGAGCCUCUGUCUAUAAUGGUGGAACAGAACACUUAGAGCCUCUGUCUAUAAUGGUGGAACAGAACACUUAGAGCCUCUGUCUAUAAUGGUGGAACAGAACACUUAGAGCCUCUGUCUAUAAUGGUGGAACAGAACACUUAGAGCCUCUGUCUAUAAUGGUGGAACAGAACACUUAGAGCCUCUGUCUAUAAUGGUGGAACAGAACACUUAGAGCCUCUGUCUAUAAUGGUGGAACAGAACACUUAGAGCCUCUGUCUAUAAUGGUGGAACAGAACACUUAGAGCCUCUGUCUAUAAUGGUGGAACAGAACACUUAGAGCCUCUGUCUAUAAUGGUGGAACAGAACACUUAGAGCCUCUGUCUAUAAGGGUGGAACAGAACACUUAGAGCCUCUGUCUAUAAUGGUGGAACAGAACACUUAGAGCUUAUACUGUAGAAUGUUAUUUGUGUUUCUUGUCUCAGUUAUGAAUUGCUCUAAGCAGAAGGAAGGCAAAGCCUGGGAAGCAGUUAGUUAGGUAAACGCAUUAACUUUGUUACUUUUGAAUGUAGCUGAAGCUCUGGUUAUUUCUAAAUCCAUGAGCCUUGAAAAUUGUUAUACUUUUUACUAUGCGUUGUUUAUUUUGUUUUUAAUAUUAAAUUGUAGAUUUGAAUUGGCUGAAUUGGCUGAAUUCGAAUUUGUGAUAUAAAUCACUCAAUAUAUAGUUUAAAUAUUUUGUAAAAUUAAUUUUAAUAAAAACAUACUGUAUA